Molecule: small nuclear RNA, 108 nt
Organism: Bos grunniens (domestic yak)
Lineage: Eukaryota; Metazoa; Chordata; Mammalia; Artiodactyla; Bovidae
Source: Ensembl
GUGCUAGACACUUCAAUAGCACGUACACUAAAACCUGAAUGAUACAGAGAUUAGCAUGGCCCCUGCACAAGGAUGACACACAAAUUCAGAGAAGUGUUCCAUAUUUCU